This 125-nucleotide microRNA precursor is filed under the name Brassica napus (rape). RNAcentral's name for it is "MIR9563 microRNA precursor family". It matches the Rfam family "MIR9563 microRNA precursor family". Lineage: Eukaryota; Viridiplantae; Streptophyta; Magnoliopsida; Brassicales; Brassicaceae. The record is from Rfam by way of RNAcentral.
GGAAUAUAAGAACUCGUCUCUUAAUUUUUAACUAAAAAAAUUAAGAACCGGCUCUUAAAACUCUUAUUUAAGAACCGAUUCUUAGUUUUUUUAGUUAAAAGUUAAGAGACGGGUUCUUAUAUUCC